This 910-nucleotide ribosomal RNA is filed under the name uncultured bacterium. Its description in RNAcentral is "bacterial SSU rRNA". It matches the Rfam family "Bacterial small subunit ribosomal RNA", at positions 33 to 934 of the family's 1533-position model. The record is from RNAcentral.
ACGCUGGCGGCAGGCUUAACACAUGCAAGUCGAACGGUAACAGGAAUUAGCUUGCUAAUUUGCUGACGAGUGGCGGACGGGUGAGUAAUGCUUGGGAAUCUGGCUUAUGGAGGGGGAUAACUACGGGAAACUGUAGCUAAUACCGCGUAAAAUCUUCGGAUUAAAGGGUGGGACUUUCGAGCCACCUGCCAUAAGAUGAGCCCAAGUGGGAUUAGGUAGUUGGUUAGGUAAAGGCUGACCAAGCCGACGAUCUCUAGCUGGUCUGAGAGGAUGACCAGCCACACUGGAACUGAGACACGGUCCAGACUCCUACGAGAGGCAGCAGUGGGGAAUAUUGCACAAUGGGGGGAACCCUGAUGCAGCCAUGCCGCGUGAAUGAAGAAGGCCUUCGGGUUGUAAAGUUCUUUCGGUGACGAGGAAGGUUGAUAGGUUAAUAGCCUAUCAAAUUGACGUUAAUCACAGAAGAAGCACCGGCUAACUCCGUGCCAGCAGCCGCGGUAAUACGGGGGGUGCGAGCGCUAAUCGGAAUAACUGGGCGUAAAGGGCACGCAGGCGGUGACUUAAGUGAGAUGUGAAAGCCCCGAGCUUAACUUGGGAAUUGCAUUUCAUACUGGGUCGCUAGAGUACUUUAGGGAGGGGUAGAAUUCCACGUGUAGCGGUGAAAUGCGUAGAGAUGUGGAGGAAUACCGAAGGCGAAGGCAGCCCCUUGGGAAUGUACUGACGCUCAUGUGCGAAAGCGUGGGGAGCAAACAGGAUUAGAUACCCUGGUAGUCCACGCUGUAAACGAUGUCGAUUUGGGGAUUGGGCUUUGAGCUUGGUGCCCGUAGCUAACGUGAUAAAUCGACCGCCUGGGGAGUACGGCCGCAAGGUUAAAACUCAAAUGAAUUGACGGGGGCCCGCACAAGCGGUG